CACACACACUCACACACACACACAUAUACACAUACACACAGAGUUAGAAAGAUAGAUAGAUAAAUAGAUAGAUAGGUAGAUAGAUAGAUAGACAGAUAGAUAGAUAGAUAGAUAGAGAGUUAGGUAGAACGAGAGAGAUGUGAUAGAGAGAUGUGAUAGAUGCAUAGAUAAGAUAGAAAGAUAGAUAGAUAGAUAGAUGGGUAAAAUGUACGUAGUGGCGUUUAGGUGUAUAAACACACACACCCAAACACACACACUUAUAUGUAUAUGAAAGGGAUGUGAAUAUGUAUGUGUAUAUGUGGGUGGGUGCGUGGGUGAGUGUGUGUGUUUGUAAGUUUUUGUGUGUGUUAAAUAUAUUCGUGAAAUUAAUGCCGUCAAAGGCAGUGGGCCAAAAUAUAAAGGGCCUGUCCACCUGAUUUUAGGAACACACACUGAAGGGAGAUUUUGCGAGAAAUACCUCCCAUUGCAAAUAUCUUCCUCAUUCGUUGUCUUUCGCUACAAAUGCAUAGUUAACAUCGGACGAAUAUCUUCUCGGUUCAUACCAUAAAUUGAUAAAUGAAUUUAUAAACAAAAACAAAAAAGGAAAACAAAAUCACAGGAAAAAGAGGCAUACAGAAUAGAAGAGAGAAAGAAAGAAAGAAAGAAAGAAAGAAAGAAAGAAAGAAGUAUUAACAGGACAACUUCGACAUAAAAAGUAACGUUCUUAAACUACAUCAUAACUUGAAAAGAAUAUAUAUACACACAUGCACACACACACACUAUCUCACAUACACACACACUCAGACAUAUACAUGUAUAUAUAUGUAUACAUAGAUAAUUGUAUAUAUAAAAUAUGAUGCUAUAUAUAAAUAUAUAUAUUAUUGAUUAAUGGUUAUAUACUUUACACAGAAAAUUCUUACAAAACAUAAAAAAAAAAUUAAAAACAGUAAAAAUUUUAAGAAUCAGCAGUAUUAAUAUUCAAUCUUGAAAGUAUAUAUAACUACAUAUAUAUAUAUUCAUGUUCAUAUAGAAACAUACAUAAAUAUAUACAUAUAUGUAUACAUAUAUUUACAUAUGAUAUAUACUUGUAUAUAUAUGGAUGCUCGUAUGUACAGAUAUAUACAAAAUAACACGCAUAUACAUGUAUGUUCAAUUGCCGAAUUAUUUUCGCAUAUUUUUAACACAGAAGUGUUAUAAACUUGUGCAUAACCCUACUGUGUGUAUAGUAAUAUUUAUUUCAACCGUUUUUUUCAUCAAGUCAUCUCUCCGCAUCUUUUGUACGGCGUCGACAUCAACUUGGGCGUGUACAGGACUCGAUUUAUAGGUAUACAUUCACAUACAUAUACGCACGCACACAUAUACACGUAGACAUACGUUCGCACACGAUUACAUACAUACAUACAUACAUACAUACAUACAUACAUACAUACAUACAUACAUACAUAUAUAUAUAUAUAUGUUUGUAGAUAUGUGUGUAUGUAUGUUUAAAUAUCUAUAGCUAUAUACGUACAUUUACUUACAUCUAUAUUUCUAUACAAAGGUGUAUAGAAACAAGCAGGUCAAAGACUGCCAGUAACUAAAAGACCUUUGCCCAACGUUUAACUCCCCAAACACCGGAGAACUAUCAAAGCUAAAGGCUCAGGCCAAGAGAGUCAGAAACUUUUUCACUGUAAAGUUACCGUUUCUCGCCGUUAAUCUGAGGAUGAAUUUGAUUCCUGCUUCGCUGAUCGUGUUGUGCUGUGUUGUUCUUCAUUGCCAAAGUAUGCGGUUUCACGGGACGCAAACCAUGCACCAGGUUCCACUGGAAAUAGAUGGAAAUAGACAAAGAAGCCUCGCGGACGAUUACGAUACUUCUCGUAUGCGUCAGUUGCUCACGAACUUCAAGCUCCAAAGAAUGUUGAGAAAACGUGCUGACGUGGCAUACAACAGUGAUUAUUUGCUUCUCUUAGAUAAAAUGAAAAACCUAGUUGAUAAACAGGAGUCUGAUGCAUGGAACAAUAAACUUAAAGACCUUGGUAAAUAGUUGUGAGAUCUUCAUAAAACGAAUACCGGUUCUCUAACAAUAUACUGUAAACUUAAAUAUUGCCAAUCUUGUUGAAUGGGAAAAUAAAGGAAAUAUGCAUAAACAUG
This is a long non-coding RNA of Octopus bimaculoides (California two-spot octopus), 2109 nucleotides long. RefSeq lists it as uncharacterized. NCBI's taxonomy places the organism in Eukaryota, Metazoa, Mollusca, Cephalopoda, Octopoda, Octopodidae. The record is from RefSeq and is a predicted model, not a curated record.